UACAUGUUACACUAUAAAUAUAAAAAAAAAAUAUUCAAACCUUACUUCUUAAUUUUUAGCAACUUGAAACUUAAGAAAAUAAAGAUAAAUAAAGAAAAAUAAAGAAGCUAUCGUUGCAAUGUUCAGCUUUAUCGACGGAAUCUCCCAAAUACACGAUACAAAAUUCACUUUCGAUUGCAUUAUUCCUUAAGGUGUCGCUUUGAAGCACGAAGUCGAAUAACAAAUAUCGAAACAUCUGUAUCGAUCUGUACCAGUAACAGAAAUCGAUGCAUCUUUUCGCGGCCAGAUGAAAAUAAUUUGAGUGCUACCAGCUCGAAUAUCGAAAGCGAGGCAUCAACUCGCCAUGGACAUCGCGUGAUCUGUACGAAGAUGAAAAAGAGAAGCAGAAAAGACUCAUGGCAGGCCGAUCGCAUUAUUCAGAUUAGGGCAUCGACUGAGCCACGCGAGUAUGCGAGUACACGCGUUUCUUUGUAUGCGUAUGCACGUGAAGUGACGGCGCGUCCCGUCUCAUACCGUAGCGGGUCCCGGCGCCCCAGCGUCCGAGCAGAAAAAGGCACAAUAAGACCGAUAGAACUGAAAAACCAAGAGAUUCACGUUGCCGUGUUGGAGGAAGGAAAGAGAGAUGCUUCUUUAAAUCCCAUCAUAAAGACACAUAGCCAGAGGCUCUCAACAUUCUUCAAAAAUGACGUUUUUAUCAUAUUUUUCAAUUUUAUGUUUGAAUGAAGACUACUGUAUCAAUGCAGCGUUAGAAAAACUAAGGCUUACGUCUUGGCCCAAUGGAACAAGAAAUAAGAGGCGCCAGCCAAAGUUACAGCUUCGUAAUGAUGUAGUUAUCUUGAUUUAACAUACCUCACAAUCUUGUCCGUUAGUACACGCUUAACUUGCUUUACUAGUACGAGCUUUGCCGUUCUUGGCAUAGCUUAGUCCAUCUAUAUUUCCUUUACUGCUAAUAAUAAUGAUAGGAUGAGAAGGAAAGAAAAAGACCAUUAACUGAAUAAAAAGAAAUAUGGAUGAAUGGAAAUAGAAAAAAAGGAAAAUAGAAGUAGAAACAGGUAUCUUAAACAAUUCUUAAUGAUUAUCUAUACCUAUAAGAUCAAAAUGAACCAAAUUAUUCAUCACGCCUAAUAUUUAAAACAAAUAAAAUAAUACUAUCGUUGUUCUUAGAUAAACAGAUAUCGAUUAUCAAUCGCUGAAAUACCUGCUCGAUUAAUAGUUAAUAGCGAUUCAUCAAUCUUCGACGAAGAAGAACGUAUACCCUCACACGUAUAUAAGCACGUACAUAUACAUGGUACAAACACAGAUGGAACUGGUAUGCUCCACAUACUGAUUUUAAACGAAUCUUACGAAGAAUUCGAAAUGCCAACUUAGCUUUGACCAUCUCACACUAUCUUAAUGCUUUUAUAUCCUCUAAACUGCUACUGGCUGCUGCUGUCUCCUUUAUCAUCCUCUUUCUUCCUUUCAGUCGUUCUUCUUUCACGACAAGAAAACGAGGAGUUCGCGUGCGUGUCUUGAAGCUAUGCAACGGGGAGAGAGAUCCAGGGAAGCUGGUAGAAGAGAUAAACCAAUACCGAGGCCGGUAGCGAGCAAUGCGUGACACGUUGAACCGUGUGUAUACGUGUGUGUUGGCGCCAGGCCGCAUUCUCGCAUUCGUUAACCAACACAUCGCGUUGCUCUCUCUCCUUGCAGCUCGUGCCUUGUUUUCCCUCGCCUCCCUUCUUCCCUCCCCCCUACCUCCACCUUCUCGUACACCACCACUCCACUACCCCUUCCUCCUCUAACCCUUUCAAUAUUAGGAGCGGUCACGGAUCCCAAAUUUGCCAUCCGUGGGGAGGCGGGACACCGAUUUGUCCUCGUCCCGUUUGUACGCUACCGGUGGUGGUACCGUGGCAAGAUGACCGGUUUCCAUCGUGGUGUACAUCGUGGCCGCCAAUCGUGUUUUGGAAUAAAGCGGUUCUCCUAAAGAGGAGGCUAUAUAUCCAGCUAUCGAAAUUUAUUGUCGAUCGACGAUUAUCAAUCGCGAUAUCAUUUCAUCCUUGAAACCCGAUGACGCAUGUUUGUCAACUAACGAAGACUAGUUAAUAAAACAAGAACUGUCUUUCAGCUCUUCAUCGUAUAUAUUUUAUGCAUAACUUCUUCUUCCAGUAUUUUCUCGUUUAUCUUUGUGGUCAAGGCAAGUUCCAUACUGUGGAAUAGUGUGUGUGUGUGUUUGACAGAUAGAGCGACGACGAUAUAUUCAUGGAACGUGUUAAUGAUGCAAGUGAGGCCCAGAAAAAUAGGCCCAGAAGUUCCCUUCUUCUUCUUCUUCUCUCAUCGAAGAAAAUCGCAAAUGAUACAUCGUGUCAAUGGAAUUCAUAGAAAACCGGUCGGUGAAAAUACGGGAGGCACGCGGGCCGUCAGAUAUUUACUGUCGCUUCAAUGAUCCACGAAGAGAUGUCUGAUCGUUGAGGUCGGUAAUUAAUCCGUAUUGGUUUACAAUGAACGAAAGAUAGCAUUGAAAGAUCAUUUAUAAAUCAAUACUGCUUGUAAUUCAAUAAACGAACAGUAUGAAUUUCGAU
Long non-coding RNA from Apis mellifera (honey bee), 2555 nucleotides. RefSeq lists it as uncharacterized. The transcript has 3 exons. NCBI's taxonomy places the organism in Eukaryota, Metazoa, Arthropoda, Insecta, Hymenoptera, Apidae. The record is from RefSeq and is a predicted model, not a curated record.